UCUGUGUGAACGUGAGCAGAGCAAACGCAGGAAAGAAAAAAAAAUGAAGAACAAUACACACGCAAAAAUCGAUCAAACGCAGAGAAUUUUUUUUAAUACAAAUUUGCCGUCACCUGCAUUUUGCACUAAUUGGCGCCACUGCCAAAAGAUUUGAACAUGACGCGCUUUUUCAAACUGCGUUUUUCCACGAAUUCGGAGGGAUAUUUGAUUGAAAACACAUUUUCCGGCUAACUAACUAGCCGUUGUACUGGACAGGACACUAACUCACCUCGUGUUGCAGAAUAUCCCAGUAGUUAGAAUAAAUUUUUAAUUAUAUUUUUCAACCAAGAAGCAACACACGCUAGGGAUAGUGUGACCCGUGGAUUUGUCAAGAAAAUAUACCGUCUGAUGCUCAGAAACAUGCAGUAUUAUACCAAAAUGUGAUGAAAUAUACCAAGGGGUUGUGUCAGCUAUCGAAAUUAGCCGACCUAGCCCGCUCUGUUUGAACAUGUAAAAAA
Drosophila guanche is the source of this 497-nucleotide long non-coding RNA. RefSeq lists it as uncharacterized. The transcript has 2 exons. The record is from RefSeq and is a predicted model, not a curated record. NCBI's taxonomy places the organism in Eukaryota, Metazoa, Arthropoda, Insecta, Diptera, Drosophilidae.